Molecule: unclassified non-coding RNA, 250 nt
Filed under: Ascomycota sp.
Lineage: Eukaryota; Fungi; Ascomycota
Description: partial contains small subunit ribosomal RNA, internal transcribed spacer 1, and 5.8S ribosomal RNA
Rfam family: Eukaryotic small subunit ribosomal RNA (bases 1-47)
Source: RNAcentral
AAAGUCGUAACAAGGUUUCCGUAGGUGAACCUGCGGAAGGAUCAUUACCGAGUGAGGGCCCUCUGGGUCCGACCUCCCACCCGUGUUUAUUAUACCUUGUUGCUUUGGCGGGCCCGCCUCACGGCCGCCGGGGGGCUUCUGCCCCCGGGCCCGUGCCCGCCGAAGACACCUUAGAACUCUGUCUGAAGAUUGUAGUCUGAGUAAAAAUAUAAAUUAUUUAAAACUUUCAACAACGGAUCUCUUGGUUCCG